CAUUCAACCUUUGGACGGUAGA
Molecule: microRNA, 22 nt
Filed under: Drosophila ananassae
Lineage: Eukaryota; Metazoa; Arthropoda; Insecta; Diptera; Drosophilidae
Description: Dan-Mir-955_3p* (star (passenger))
Source: RNAcentral